UUCAGGGCGCAAGUAAAGCAUAAAAGUGCACCCUGAAGCCCAAAGAGAAAUCUUAGUAUCGUUAUACAGUGUUUGACGUAGCUGUGAACGUGUAAGGAGGUCUUGUUUGCUUGGUGAUUGCUAUAUGUCAUGUACUUGUAAUGAAGCGUCUUGCGAACAUGCCUUGGAAACUGGCGUGAAAGGCUUUCAUUGAAAGCGGCACAUACCCGAUGCAUUUGUAGCGCAGUAUGCUGAUGCAUCGGGAUGUUGUCCUUGAGGAAAUCAUUGUCAAGUGGAUUCGAUUACGCUCAGCAUCGCAGAAAUCUGAGAGGUCUCUUUCGGCAUUGGAGUGUAGCUCAUUCCGAAUUACACAUACAUAAAGAGAGGAAUUGGUGUCAAAGAUGUUCAUUCAAGAAUGGCGCACACCUACAGGGACAUACCCAGUUACCCACGAUGGUAACAAAGAGGAAUAUCAAUACAAACUGAGUGACCCAUACGAAGUGCUCCAAGUCGACGUCGAAGAUGUUCUUCGAACAGCGGUGUCUAUCCAAGUCCCCAUUUACAGUGACUCAUGUAGGCGUGAAAGAGGUUCGUAGAAGAGCGGCAGGUAUCCGAUGCGCUACCCACUCAACCAUGGACUACCCAGUGACUCAGAUAGGCGGGAGAAUGGUUAGAUGGAAACAUACAAAACUACACAGGCAAACAGAUACAAAGAUACAUACAUGGA
This is a long non-coding RNA of Dermacentor silvarum, 706 nucleotides long. RefSeq lists it as uncharacterized. The transcript is spliced from 3 exons. Lineage: Eukaryota; Metazoa; Arthropoda; Arachnida; Ixodida; Ixodidae. The record is from RefSeq and is a predicted model, not a curated record.